CGGCCGCGGUAUCCUGACCGUGCAAAGGUAGCAUAAUCACUUGUUCCCUAAUUAGGGACUAGAAUGAAUGGCCAAACGAGGAUUCAACUGUCUCUUAUUUUUUAUCAGUGAAAUUGACCUUUCAGUGAAGAGGCUGAAAUACUAAAAUAAGACGAGAAGACCCUAUGGAGCUUAAAUUAAAAGUUUAAUUUUACUCUUAUUAACCUAAUGGUUUAACACAAAAAUUUUAAACUCUAAAUUUCGGUUGGGGUGACCUCGGAGAACAAAAAAUCCUCCGAAUGAUUUUAACAUAGACCAACAAGUCAAAGUAACCCAAAGAUCUUAUUGACCCAAAAAUUUUUGAUCAACGGACCAAGUUACCCUAGGGAUAACAGCGCAAUCCUAUUUUAGAGUCCAUAUCGACAAUAGGGUUUACGACCUCGAUGUUGGAUCAGGACAUCCCAAUGGCGCA
RNAcentral lists this ribosomal RNA (451 nucleotides) under Melomys burtoni (grassland melomys). Its description in RNAcentral is "partial 16S ribosomal RNA". It matches the Rfam family "Bacterial large subunit ribosomal RNA", at positions 1928 to 2557 of the family's 2925-position model. The record is from RNAcentral. Lineage: Eukaryota; Metazoa; Chordata; Mammalia; Rodentia; Muridae.